GGGGGUGUGGCUCAGUGGUCGAGUGCCCCUGCAUUGAAUCCCUGGUACUCCAAACUAAAUAAAUAAAUAAAUAAUUAAAAUUAAAGAGUUUAAAUGUCCUGCUUAAUUGAGCUGAGCUGUGGCUCAGAGGUUGUCUGGUGUGUGGGAGGCCCUGGGUUCCAUCCCCAGCACCCCAA
Molecule: transfer RNA, 176 nt
Filed under: Marmota monax (woodchuck)
Lineage: Eukaryota; Metazoa; Chordata; Mammalia; Rodentia; Sciuridae
Description: tRNA.Asn
Source: RNAcentral